This 108-nucleotide small RNA is filed under the name Marmota monax (woodchuck). Lineage: Eukaryota; Metazoa; Chordata; Mammalia; Rodentia; Sciuridae. The record is from RNAcentral.
GCUGGGUGUGGUGGCUCACACCUGUAAUCCCAGUGACUCAAGAGGCUGGAGGCAAGAGGAUCACAAGUUCAAAGCCAGCCUCAGAAACUGAGUAAGACCUUGUCUCUA